RNAcentral lists this unclassified non-coding RNA (263 nucleotides) under uncultured fungus. Its description in RNAcentral is "sequence contains ITS1, 5.8S rRNA gene". The stretch from base 215 to 263 matches the Rfam family "5.8S ribosomal RNA", at positions 1 to 49 of the family's 154-position model. The record is from RNAcentral. Lineage: Eukaryota; Fungi.
UUUCCGUAGGUGAACCUGCGGAAGGAUCAUUACCGAGAGGGGCUCCGGCUCCAGGGGGUUCGCCCCCGCAUCUCAACCCCGUGAAAAUCAUACCUUUGUUGCUUUGGCGGGCCUUGGGGUUACGCUCAUGCUGGGUUCCGCCCGGCGAGUGCCCGCCAGAAGCCCAUCAAAACUCAUUAUUUAUGCUGUCAGAGUAUACAUACAAAUAGAACAAAACUUUCAACAACGGAUCUCUUGGUUCUGGCAUCGAUGAAGAACGCAGC